Molecule: ribosomal RNA, 493 nt
Filed under: uncultured Staphylococcus sp.
Lineage: Bacteria; Bacillati; Bacillota; Bacilli; Caryophanales; Staphylococcaceae
Description: bacterial SSU rRNA
Rfam family: Bacterial small subunit ribosomal RNA
Source: RNAcentral
AUACAUGCAAGUCGAGCGAACAGAUAAGGAGCUUGCUCCUUUGACGUUAGCGGCGGACGGGUGAGUAACACGUGGAUAACCUACCUAUAAGACUGGGAUAACUUCGGGAAACCGGAGCUAAUACCGGAUAACAUAUUGAACCGCAUGGUUCAAUAGUGAAAGGCGGCUUUGCUGUCACUUAUAGAUGGAUCCGCGCCGUAUUAGCUAGUUGGUAAGGUAACGGCUUACCAAGGCAACGAUACGUAGCCGACCUGAGAGGGUGAUCGGCCACACUGGAACUGAGACACGGUCCAGACUCCUACGGGAGGCAGCAGUAGGGAAUCUUCCGCAAUGGGCGAAAGCCUGACGGAGCAACGCCGCGUGAGUGAUGAAGGUCUUCGGAUCGUAAAACUCUGUUAUCAGGGAAGAACAAAUGUGUAAGUAACUGUGCACAUCUUGACGGUACCUGAUCAGAAAGCCACGGCUAACUACGUGCCAGCAGCCGCGGUAAUAC